Molecule: ribosomal RNA, 497 nt
Filed under: uncultured bacterium
Lineage: Bacteria
Description: partial 16S ribosomal RNA
Rfam family: Bacterial small subunit ribosomal RNA
Source: RNAcentral
GAUGAACGCUGGCGGCGUGCCUAAUACAUGCAAGUCGAGCGAACGGACGAGAAGCUUGCUUCUCUGAUGUUAGCGGCGGACGGGUGAGUAACACGUGGAUAACCUACCUAUAAGACUGGGAUAAAUUCGGGAAACCGGAGCUAAUACCGGAUAAUAUUUUGAACUGCAUGGUUCACAAGUGAAAGAAGGUCUUGCUGUCACUUAUAGAUGGAUCCGCGCUGCAUUAGUUAGUUGGUAAGGUAACGGCUUACCAAAGCAACGAUGCAUAGCCGACCUGAGAGGGUGGAUGGCCACACGGGAACAGAGACACGUUCCAGACUCCUACAGGGAGCAACGGUAGAGAAUCUUACGCGAUGGGCGAAAGCCUGACAGAGCAACACCGCGUGAAGGAUGAACGUCUACGGAUCGUAAAACUCUGUUAUUAGGGAAGAACAUAUGUGUAAGUAACUGUGCUCAUCUUGACAGUACCUAAUCAGAAAGCCACGGCUAACUACGUG